This 496-nucleotide ribosomal RNA is filed under the name uncultured bacterium. Its description in RNAcentral is "partial 16S ribosomal RNA". It matches the Rfam family "Bacterial small subunit ribosomal RNA", at positions 29 to 507 of the family's 1533-position model. The record is from RNAcentral.
AUGAACGCUUGCGGCUUGCCUAAUACAUGCAAGUCGAGCGAACAGACGAGGAGCUUGCUCCUCUGACGUUAGCGGCGGACGGGUGAGUAACACGUGGAUAACCUACCUAUAAGACUGGGAUAACUUCGGGAAACCGGAGCUAAUACCGGAUAAUAUAUUGAACCGCAUGGUUCAAUAGUGAAAUACGGUUUUGCUGUCACUUAUAGAUGGAUCCGCGCCGCAUUAGCUAGUUGGUAAGGUAACGGCUUACCAAGGCAACGAUGCGUAGCCGACCUGAGAGGGUGAUCGGCCACACUGGAACUGAGACACGGUCCAGACUCCUACGGGAGGCAGCAGUAGGGAAUCUUCCGCAAUGGGCGAAAGCCUGACGGAGCAACGCCGCGUGAGUGAUGAAGGUCCUCGGAUCGUAAAACUCUGUUAUUAGGGAAGAACAAAUGUGUAAGUAACUAUGCACGUCUUGACGGUACCUAAUCAGAAAGCCACGGCUAACUACGUG